GACGAACGCUGGCGGCGUGCUUAAUACAUGCAAGUCGAACGAGGUCCUUCGGGACCUAGUGGCGAACGGGUGAGUAACACGUGAGCAACCUGCCCCGAAGACCGGGAUAACAGUGGGAAACCGCUGCUAAUACCGGAUACCCCCACCGGAUCACAUGGUCUGGUGAGGAAAUGCCUGAUUCUUUAAGUUUCAGACGCUUCGGGAGGGGCUCGCGGCCUAUCAGCUUGUUGGUGGGGUAACGGCCUACCAAGGCAACGACGGGUAGCUGGUCUGAGAGGACGAUCAGCCACACUGGAACUGAGACACGGUCCAGACUCCUACGGGAGGCAGCAGUGGGGAAUCUUGCGCAAUGGGCGAAAGCCUGACGCAGCGACGCCGCGUGAGUGAUGAAGGCCUUCGGGUUGUAAAGCUCUGUGGAGGGGGACGAAUGAGUCGUGGCCAACAUCCACGAUGAUGACGGUACCCCUUUAGCAAGCACCGGCUAACUCUGUGCCAGCAGCCGCGGUAAGACAGAGGGUGCAAACGUUGUUCGGAAUUACUGGGCGUAAAGCGCGUGUAGGCCGCUCCAAAAGUCGGAUGUGAAAGCCCUGGGCUCAACCUAGGAAGUGCAUUCGAAACUGCGGAGCUUGAGUCCUGGAGAGGAUGCGGAAUUCUCGGUGUAGAGGUGAAAUUCGUAGAUAUCGAGAGGAACACCGGUGGCGAAGCGGCCUUCUGGACAGUGACUGACGCUGAGACGCGAAAGCGUGGGGAGCAAACAGGAUUA
Molecule: ribosomal RNA, 763 nt
Filed under: uncultured bacterium
Lineage: Bacteria
Description: bacterial SSU rRNA
Rfam family: Bacterial small subunit ribosomal RNA
Source: RNAcentral